UACGUAGGUGGCAAGCGUUGUCCGGAUUUACUGGGCGUAAAGAGCGCGCAGGCGGUCGGAUCAGUCGAAUGUGAAAGCCCCCGGCUCAACUGGGGAGGGUCAUUCGAUACUGAUCGACUCGAAGGCAGGAGAGGGUAGUGGAAUUCCCGGUGUAGUGGUGAAAUGCGUAGAUAUCGGGAGGAACACCAGUGGCGAAGGCGACUACCUGGCCUGUUCUUGACGCUGAGGCGCGAAAGCUAGGGGAGCAAACGGG
This 253-nucleotide ribosomal RNA is filed under the name uncultured bacterium. RNAcentral describes it as "partial 16S ribosomal RNA". It matches the Rfam family "Bacterial small subunit ribosomal RNA", at positions 524 to 776 of the family's 1533-position model. The record is from RNAcentral.